UNGGCAAGAAGCGGGGAUGCCUGUGCAUGA
RNAcentral lists this non-coding RNA (30 nucleotides) under Mus musculus (house mouse). The record is from RNAcentral. Lineage: Eukaryota; Metazoa; Chordata; Mammalia; Rodentia; Muridae.